This 352-nucleotide unclassified non-coding RNA is filed under the name soil metagenome. RNAcentral describes it as "partial contains 5.8S ribosomal RNA, internal transcribed spacer 2, and large subunit ribosomal RNA". The stretch from base 1 to 120 matches the Rfam family "5.8S ribosomal RNA", at positions 35 to 154 of the family's 154-position model. The record is from RNAcentral.
GAUGAAGAACGCAGCGAAAUGCGAUAAGUAAUGUGAAUUGCAGAAUUCAGUGAAUCAUCGAAUCUUUUAACGCACAUUGCGCCCGCCAGUAUUCUGGCGGGCAUGCCUGUUCGAGCGUCAUUACAACCCUCAGGCCCCCGGGCCUGGCGUUGGGGAUCGGCGGAGCCCCCCGUGGGCACACGCCGUCCCCCAAAUACAGUGGCGGUCCCGCCGCAGCUUCCAUCGCGUAGUAGCUAACACCUCGCGACUGGAGAGCGGCGCGGCCACGCCGUAAAACACCCAACUCUUCUGAAGUUGACCUCGAAUCAGGUAGGAAUACCCGCUGAACUUAAGCAUAUCAAUAAGCGGAGGA